UGGGGACUAUUGGACAAUGGGCGAAAGCCUGAUCCAGCCAUGCCGCGUGUGUGAAGAAGGUCUUCGGAUUGUAAAGCACUUUAAGUUGUGAGGAAGGGCAGUAAGCGAAUACCUUGCUGUUUUGACGUUACCUACAGAAUAAGCACCAGCUAACUCUGUGCCAGCAGCCGCGGUAAUACAGAGGGUGCAAGCGUUAAUCGGAAUUACUGGGCGUAAAGCGCGCGUAGGUGGUUCGUUAAGUUGAAUGUGAAAGCCCCGGGCUCAACCUGGGAACUGCAUCCAAAACUGGCGAGCUAGAGUAGGGCAGAGGGUGGUGGAAUUUCCUGUGUAGCGGUGAAAUGCGUAGAUAUAGGAAGGAACACCAGUGGCGAAGGCGACCACCAGGGCUCAUACUGACACUGAGGUGCGAAAGCGUGGGGAGCAAACAGG
This 429-nucleotide ribosomal RNA is filed under the name Pseudomonadota bacterium. RNAcentral's name for it is "Proteobacteria bacterium partial 16S ribosomal RNA". It matches the Rfam family "Bacterial small subunit ribosomal RNA", at positions 355 to 776 of the family's 1533-position model. Lineage: Bacteria; Pseudomonadati; Pseudomonadota. The record is from RNAcentral.